RNAcentral lists this ribosomal RNA (455 nucleotides) under uncultured Rubellimicrobium sp. RNAcentral describes it as "bacterial SSU rRNA". It matches the Rfam family "Bacterial small subunit ribosomal RNA", at positions 8 to 507 of the family's 1533-position model. Lineage: Bacteria; Pseudomonadati; Pseudomonadota; Alphaproteobacteria; Rhodobacterales; Roseobacteraceae. The record is from RNAcentral.
AGAGUUUGAUCCUGGCUCAGAACGAACGCUGGCGGCAGGCUUAACACAUGCAAGUCGAGCGGGUGCUUUCGGGCGUCAGCGGCGGACGGGUUAGUAACGCGUGGGAACGUGCCUUUUGCUUCGGAAUAGCCCUGGGAAACUGGGGGUAAUACCGGAUGUGCCCUGAGGGGGAAAGAUUUAUCGGCAAGAGAUCGGCCCGCGUUGGAUUAGGUAGUUGGUGGGGUAACGGCCCACCAAGCCGACGAUCCAUAGCUGGUUUGAGAGGAUGAUCAGCAACACUGGGACUGAGACACGGCCCAGACUCCUACGGGAGGCAGCAGUGGGGAAUCUUAGACAAUGGGCGAAAGCCUGAUCUAGCCAUGCCGCGUGGGUGAUGAAGGCCUUAGGGUCGUAAAGCCCUUUCGCCGGGGAAGAUAAUGACGGUACCCGGUAAAGAAACCCCGGCUAACUCCGUG